GGGAGUUUAAGCUCUAGCUUCAGCCUGAUGUUUUUAACCAACUAGGCCCGCCAACCCACAAGCAGAUAGAAAAUAAGCUGAUUCUAUAGGACAGAAAAAGGAAGAGGGCAGGGGUCAUAAGGGGAUGUAAGCAUAAGAUACCCAAGCCAGAAACAGCAACCCUUCCAGGUCCCCUUCCCCCACGUGGAAGCUUUCCUUUCACUUUCGCUUUAAUAAAUCUUGCCGCAGCACACUCUCUAAUCGAGCUGUAACACUCGCCACUGCCGUCCACGGCUUCAUUCCUUGAAGCCGUGAGACCACGAACCCUUCGAUUGAGAAGAACCUUCGGUCGGAAGAAGACUUCUCGUCUCAGUAACAAUAACAAGAAAAACAGCCUAGACUAGACGCACAUCAGGAAGACAGUUAAUCCCGUCAUGUAUUGACCCGGAAACAUCAUCUCAUUUGCCUAUAAGACAGAGAGAGAGAAUGAUAGAAAUGCUGGAAGAACGAGCCUUGGGGCGGUAUCGCCCAGAUCUGAAUCCACACAGCAGCUGCUUCGGUCCCUGUAACUCAAGGCUUCCUCUUAAUCCUCUGUCCUCCAUCAACACCUGGCUGAGCAGGAACAACUAUGACCUAGGACCAGGGCCUUCAGGAAUCUUCACCCCUAACUUGAACUUCAUAACACUGGAGAGAGAGACUGUGGAAUGGAAUGACUCUCCAGAGCUGCAGAUUGAAGAUCUCAAUGGCGGGAACACCUUCAUGGCCCCUUUAUAGCUGGAUGAUCAUUUCCUGUUCUCUCCACCAUGGCCACCUGGUCCAAGCCACCAUCUUCAUGCACCUGGAUACCUGCCAUAACCUCAGCUGACCUUUCCUGUGUCCAUUCUUGUUCCUUUGGGCCCAGUCUCCUCGCUCAUAGCAGCAGAAUGAGUCUAUUAAAAAGUGAAACAAUUUCUGUCACUUCCUGGCUCAAAAGUCUCCAAUAGUUUCCCCAUGGAUUGGAAUAAAAUGUAGGUUCUAACCAUGGGGUACCAUGUAAGUUUAGGUUCACCUGUAAGUCACAGGAAAAAAAAAUAUAUAUAUAUAUAUGUAUAUAUCACACACACAC
Molecule: long non-coding RNA, 1084 nt
Filed under: Homo sapiens (human)
Lineage: Eukaryota; Metazoa; Chordata; Mammalia; Primates; Hominidae
Description: HSALNT0196919
Source: RNAcentral